Molecule: ribosomal RNA, 433 nt
Filed under: uncultured bacterium
Lineage: Bacteria
Description: partial 16S ribosomal RNA
Rfam family: Bacterial small subunit ribosomal RNA
Source: RNAcentral
AGCGAACGCUGGCGGCAGGCCUAACACAUGCCAGUCGAACGGAUCCUUCGGGAUUAGUGGCGGACGGGUGAGUAACACGUGGGAACGUGCCCUUUGGUUCGGAACAACUCAGGGAGACUUGAGCUAAUACCGGAUGUGCCCUUCGGGGGAAAGAUUUAUCGCCAUUGGAGCGGCCCGCGUCUGAUUAGCUAGUUGGUGAGGUAACGGCCCACCAAGGCGACGAUCAGUAGCUGGUCUGAGAGGAUGAUCAGCCACACUGGGACUGAGACACGGCCCAGACUCCUACGGGAGGCAGCAGUGGGGAAUCUUGCGCAAUGGGCGAAAGCCUGACGCAGCCAUGCCGCGUGAAUGAUGAAGGUCUUAGGAUUGUAAAAUUCUUUCAGCGGGGACGAUAAUGACGGUACCCGCAGAAGAAGCUCCGGCUAACUUCGUG